AAACACCUUGAGUUGUUUUCGCUAAAGGAACACCCGAUGCAAAAGUUAUGGGCCACCACUAACAUCAAGAUAAAAAUUAAGUUACAAUGGACUGCAUCCCGAACCAAGACAUCUAACCUUCUCGAAGGUGGUCAGCGCGAUGACGUCACGCGACACCUGCACAUAGGGUGGUGCGGACAAAUCGCAUUUUCAAUUCUAGAGGCAGUCUGGACAGUCUGGUAAUGAGCGGGUCUGUCUGUGACCUCAUCUUGAUAAAGUGUUGACAGUACAUAAUUCGUUCAUUCCUCUCACUCUCGUUUUGUACCUGGAAGUGUGAGCAGCUGAGACUCUGCUAGUACUCAGACCGAUGAUAGUACUGUUAAGAAUUACUCUGUCAGGUUCAACGAUAUACAAGUGUUGAGAUGACGGUGAAUAACUGGUUCUUUUAUCACGCUCGUCUUGCAUCAGGAGGUGUGAGUAUUUUAAGGCCCCAACCAGUGCUCAGACUGACGAAGCACUAAGUAAGAUUCCUCACAGAGUCGAGGCAAUGUACAGCUUGCUUGAGUUUUCCUUACAUGAUGUCUGAGAUUCGACAGUGACAAGACUGCGUCAUUGUGUAUUAUACAAACUUCUAACCGGGAAGAAUAAAUGGAAUCGUCGAGUUUCGGGGUUUUGAGUCACAUGCUCGGAACUGGACGCGACUCCCUCCGGCCAGCCUCGAGUCAGUCCACUCCGGAGUCUCUGGGCGGACGGACACGUGUGGUUGAGAGUGUCCUGGACUUCCACUGUGUCCACAUUUCUAGCUUCAACACAUGAACGGGCGGAGCCAGUAAUCCUACCUCCAGAAAGCUGGCUUCCUGGAUCUGUGAGUGUACUCUGAGAUUCAACGAGCACCCUCAGUGUUCAAACUUGAAUAUUGGUGAAGAUCCACCACUACAUGUCUGCACAUAUCAGGUCCACCUGCCCCUCCUGAUGACCUGAGGCAGAGCCCUGAGCCCACACACCAGGCCACUGUGUCCCCUCUGCCCCGCCUGAUGCCCCGCAGAACAAGGAAGUGGAGUCCAGGCACCAGACCAGCCUCAUGCCCUGGCCACAACAGUGCUGCUCAACAAGUUUCACAAAAUCUUUACCUGGAAUAUUUUUCCCCAUAUUCAGUGAUGCAUUCAAUGUCCUCAGUCAGAUCAUUUUCACAAAACAUUUCCAACAGCAAAAUUCUAUUUGCAUAACAAGGAAAUUUUAGGUCUUUGUUUCCAGGAUGGUGGCAGCCCAAAAGAUAAGGCAGUCUGGCAGGCAGCUGCCACACACAAAGAUUACAACCUAUCCCUUCACUAACACUCCAUGAAAGGUGACAAUACUGUGUGCUCACGAGCUAACCAACCAUCAAGG
Eriocheir sinensis (Chinese mitten crab) is the source of this 1365-nucleotide long non-coding RNA. RefSeq lists it as uncharacterized. The record is from RefSeq and is a predicted model, not a curated record. Lineage: Eukaryota; Metazoa; Arthropoda; Malacostraca; Decapoda; Varunidae. The transcript is spliced from 3 exons.